RNAcentral lists this ribosomal RNA (253 nucleotides) under uncultured bacterium. RNAcentral's name for it is "partial 16S ribosomal RNA". It matches the Rfam family "Bacterial small subunit ribosomal RNA", at positions 524 to 776 of the family's 1533-position model. The record is from RNAcentral.
UACAGAGGGGGCAAGCGUUGUUCGGAAUUACUGGGCGUAAAGGGCGCGUAGGCGGCCUGCUAAGUCGAACGUGAAAUCCCUGGGCUCAACCCAGGAACUGCGUCCGAUACUGGUUGGCUUGAAUCCGGGAGAGGGAUGUGGAAUUCCAGGUGUAGCGGUGAAAUGCGUAGAUAUCGGGAAGAACACCCGUGGCGAAGGCGGCUCUCUGGGACGGUACUGACGCUGAGACGCGAAAGCGUGGGGAGCGAACAGG